RNAcentral lists this ribosomal RNA (825 nucleotides) under uncultured Glomus. Its description in RNAcentral is "bacterial SSU rRNA". It matches the Rfam family "Eukaryotic small subunit ribosomal RNA", at positions 292 to 1116 of the family's 1831-position model. Lineage: Eukaryota; Fungi; Glomeromycota; Glomeromycetes; Glomerales; Glomeraceae. The record is from RNAcentral.
ACACUGACGACAUGGUUCUACAAUCAACUUUCGAUGGUAGGAUAGAGGCCUACCAUGGUGGUAACGGGUAACGGGGUGUUAGGGCACGACACCGGAGAGGGAGCCUGAGAAACGGCUACCACAUCCAAGGAUGGCAGCAAGCGCGCAAAUUACCCAAUCCCGACACGGGGAGGUAGUGACAAUAAAUAACAAUACGGGGUUCUUUAGGAUCUCGUAAUUGGAAUGAGUACAAUUUAAAUCCCUUAACGAGGAACAAUUGGAGGGCAAGUCUGGUGCCAGCAGCCGCGGUAAUUCCAGCUCCAAUAGCGUAUAUUAAAGUUGUUGCAGUUAAAAAGCUCGUAGUUGAAUUUCGGGAUCAAAUUGUCGGUCGUGCUUCGGUACGUACUGGCAUUAUUGGUUUCUACCUUCUGAAGAACCGCGAUGUCAUUAAUUUGGUGUCGUGGGGAAUCAGGACUGUUACUUUGAAAAAAUUAGAGUGUUUAAAGCAGGCGCAUGCUUGAAUACAUUAGCAUGGAAUAAUGAAAUAGGACGUUUGAUUCUAUUUUGUUGGUUUCUAGGAUCGACGUAAUGAUUAAUAGGGAUAGUUGGGGGCAUUAGUAUUCAAUUGUCAGAGGUGAAAUUCUUGGAUUUAUUGAAGACUAACUAUUGCGAAAGCAUUUGCCAAGGAUGUUUUCAUUAAUCAAGAACGGAAGUUGGGGGCUCGAAGAUGAUCAGAUACCGUCCUAGUCUCAACCAUAAACGGUGCCGACCGGGGAUCGACGGAUGUUGCUUUUUGGUCUCUGUCAACACCUUAUUGGAAACCAAAGUGUUUGGGUUCAGACCAAG